GGCACUAUGGCGGAGUGGUUAUCGCGUGGCACUAGAACUUUUCCAAGCUCUAGAGUAAAUCAUCUACUCACCAAACAGUAUAUGCCAUUCCCUCUGGGAGCACAGGUUCAAAUCCUGUUGGUGUCG
This is a non-coding RNA of Testicularia cyperi, 126 nucleotides long. Lineage: Eukaryota; Fungi; Basidiomycota; Ustilaginomycetes; Ustilaginales; Anthracoideaceae. The record is from the annotation of a GenBank genome assembly.